RNAcentral lists this ribosomal RNA (253 nucleotides) under uncultured bacterium. Its description in RNAcentral is "partial 16S ribosomal RNA". It matches the Rfam family "Bacterial small subunit ribosomal RNA", at positions 524 to 776 of the family's 1533-position model. The record is from RNAcentral.
UACGUAGGGUGCAAGCGUUGUCCGGAAUUAUUGGGCGUAAAGAGCUCGUAGGUGGCCUGUCGCGUCGGCUGUGAAAACUCGGGGCUCAACUCCGAGCUUGCAGUCGAUACGGGCAGGCUAGAGUUCGGUAGGGGAGACUGGAAUUCCUGGUGUAGCGGUGAAAUGCGCAGAUAUCAGGAGGAACACCGGUGGCGAAGGCGGGUCUCUGGGCCGUAACUGACGCUGAGGAGCGAAAGCAUGGGGAGCGAACAGG